RNAcentral lists this ribosomal RNA (2901 nucleotides) under Escherichia coli. Its description in RNAcentral is "bacterial LSU rRNA". It matches the Rfam family "Bacterial large subunit ribosomal RNA". Lineage: Bacteria; Pseudomonadati; Pseudomonadota; Gammaproteobacteria; Enterobacterales; Enterobacteriaceae. The record is from RNAcentral.
UUAAGCGACUAAGCGUACACGGUGGAUGCCCUGGCAGUCAGAGGCGAUGAAGGACGUGCUAAUCUGCGAUAAGCGUCGGUAAGGUGAUAUGAACCGUUAUAACCGGCGAUUUCCGAAUGGGGAAACCCAGUGUGAUUCGUCACACUAUCAUUAACUGAAUCCAUAGGUUAAUGAGGCGAACCGGGGGAACUGAAACAUCUAAGUACCCCGAGGAAAAGAAAUCAACCGAGAUUCCCCCAGUAGCGGCGAGCGAACGGGGAGCAGCCCAGAGCCUGAAUCAGUGUGUGUGUUAGUGGAAGCGUCUGGAAAGGCGCGCGAUACAGGGUGACAGCCCCGUACACAAAAAUGCACAUGCUGUGAGCUCGAUGAGUAGGGCGGGACACGUGGUAUCCUGUCUGAAUAUGGGGGGACCAUCCUCCAAGGCUAAAUACUCCUGACUGACCGAUAGUGAACCAGUACCGUGAGGGAAAGGCGAAAAGAACCCCGGCGAGGGGAGUGAAAAAGAACCUGAAACCGUGUACGUACAAGCAGUGGGAGCACGCUUAGGCGUGUGACUGCGUACCUUUUGUAUAAUGGGUCAGCGACUUAUAUUCUGUAGCAAGGUUAACCGAAUAGGGGAGCCGAAGGGAAACCGAGUCUUAACUGGGCGUUAAGUUGCAGGGUAUAGACCCGAAACCCGGUGAUCUAGCCAUGGGCAGGUUGAAGGUUGGGUAACACUAACUGGAGGACCGAACCGACUAAUGUUGAAAAAUUAGCGGAUGACUUGUGGCUGGGGGUGAAAGGCCAAUCAAACCGGGAGAUAGCUGGUUCUCCCCGAAAGCUAUUUAGGUAGCGCCUCGUGAAUUCAUCUCCGGGGGUAGAGCACUGUUUCGGCAAGGGGGUCAUCCCGACUUACCAACCCGAUGCAAACUGCGAAUACCGGAGAAUGUUAUCACGGGAGACACACGGCGGGUGCUAACGUCCGUCGUGAAGAGGGAAACAACCCAGACCGCCAGCUAAGGUCCCAAAGUCAUGGUUAAGUGGGAAACGAUGUGGGAAGGCCCAGACAGCCAGGAUGUUGGCUUAGAAGCAGCCAUCAUUUAAAGAAAGCGUAAUAGCUCACUGGUCGAGUCGGCCUGCGCGGAAGAUGUAACGGGGCUAAACCAUGCACCGAAGCUGCGGCAGCGACACUAUGUGUUGUUGGGUAGGGGAGCGUUCUGUAAGCCUGCGAAGGUGUGCUGUGAGGCAUGCUGGAGGUAUCAGAAGUGCGAAUGCUGACAUAAGUAACGAUAAAGCGGGUGAAAAGCCCGCUCGCCGGAAGACCAAGGGUUCCUGUCCAACGUUAAUCGGGGCAGGGUGAGUCGACCCCUAAGGCGAGGCCGAAAGGCGUAGUCGAUGGGAAACAGGUUAAUAUUCCUGUACUUGGUGUUACUGCGAAGGGGGGACGGAGAAGGCUAUGUUGGCCGGGCGACGGUUGUCCCGGUUUAAGCGUGUAGGCUGGUUUUCCAGGCAAAUCCGGAAAAUCAAGGCUGAGGCGUGAUGACGAGGCACUACGGUGCUGAAGCAACAAAUGCCCUGCUUCCAGGAAAAGCCUCUAAGCAUCAGGUAACAUCAAAUCGUACCCCAAACCGACACAGGUGGUCAGGUAGAGAAUACCAAGGCGCUUGAGAGAACUCGGGUGAAGGAACUAGGCAAAAUGGUGCCGUAACUUCGGGAGAAGGCACGCUGAUAUGUAGGUGAAGCGACUUGCUCGUGGAGCUGAAAUCAGUCGAAGAUACCAGCUGGCUGCAACUGUUUAUUAAAAACACAGCACUGUGCAAACACGAAAGUGGACGUAUACGGUGUGACGCCUGCCCGGUGCCGGAAGGUUAAUUGAUGGGGUUAGCGCAAGCGAAGCUCUUGAUCGAAGCCCCGGUAAACGGCGGCCGUAACUAUAACGGUCCUAAGGUAGCGAAAUUCCUUGUCGGGUAAGUUCCGACCUGCACGAAUGGCGUAAUGAUGGCCAGGCUGUCUCCACCCGAGACUCAGUGAAAUUGAACUCGCUGUGAAGAUGCAGUGUACCCGCGGCAAGACGGAAAGACCCCGUGAACCUUUACUAUAGCUUGACACUGAACAUUGAGCCUUGAUGUGUAGGAUAGGUGGGAGGCUUUGAAGUGUGGACGCCAGUCUGCAUGGAGCCGACCUUGAAAUACCACCCUUUAAUGUUUGAUGUUCUAACGUGGACCCGUAAUCCGGGUUGCGGACAGUGUCUGGUGGGUAGUUUGACUGGGGCGGUCUCCUCCUAAAGAGUAACGGAGGAGCACGAAGGUUGGCUAAUCCUGGUCGGACAUCAGGAGGUUAGUGCAAUGGCAUAAGCCAGCUUGACUGCGAGCGUGACGGCGCGAGCAGGUGCGAAAGCAGGUCAUAGUGAUCCGGUGGUUCUGAAUGGAAGGGCCAUCGCUCAACGGAUAAAAGGUACUCCGGGGAUAACAGGCUGAUACCGCCCAAGAGUUCAUAUCGACGGCGGUGUUUGGCACCUCGAUGUCGGCUCAUCACAUCCUGGGGCUGAAGUAGGUCCCAAGGGUAUGGCUGUUCGCCAUUUAAAGUGGUACGCGAGCUGGGUUUAGAACGUCGUGAGACAGUUCGGUCCCUAUCUGCCGUGGGCGCUGGAGAACUGAGGGGGGCUGCUCCUAGUACGAGAGGACCGGAGUGGACGCAUCACUGGUGUUCGGGUUGUCAUGCCAAUGGCACUGCCCGGUAGCUAAAUGCGGAAGAGAUAAGUGCUGAAAGCAUCUAAGCACGAAACUUGCCCCGAGAUGAGUUCUCCCUGACUCCUUGAGAGUCCUGAAGGAACGUUGAAGACGACGACGUUGAUAGGCCGGGUGUGUAAGCGCAGCGAUGCGUUGAGCUAACCGGUACUAAUGAACCGUGAGGCUUAACCUU